GUAAACAAGGUUUCCGUAGGUGAACCUGCGGAAGGAUCAUUAUUGAAUAAAUUUGGUUGGGUUGUUGCUGGCUUCUAGGAGCAUGUGCACGCCUAAUCCAUUUUUAACCACCUGUGCACCUUGUGUAGACCUUGAGCAAUCUUCGAGGACAAUGGGACUCGGUUUGAGAAUUGCUGGUGUGGAAACGCGCUCAGCUUUUCUUGUGUUCAGGUCUAUGUCUUAUAUCACACUCCAUAUGAAUGUAUUUGAAUGUAAUCAAUAGGCCCUCGUGCCUUUAAACAUAAUACAACUUUCAACAACGGAUCUCUUGGCUCUCGCAUCGAUGAAGAACGCAGCGAAAUGCGAUAAGUAAUGUGAAUUGCAGAAUUCAGUGAAUCAUCGAAUCUUUGAACGCACCUUGCGCUCCUUGGUAUUCCGAGGAGCAUGCCUGUUUGAGUGUCAUGAAAUUCUCAACCUUUCUGGCUUUUAUAAAGUCCAGUCAGGCUUGGAUUAUGGGAGUUUGCUGGCUUUUUGAAGUCGGCUCUUCUAAAAUGCAUUAGCAAGAUCAUUGCUGCUCAUCAUUAGUAUGAUAAUUAUCUAUGCUAUUGACCGAGUCAGUUUCCUUAAUUGGAGGAUUUUGCUCCUAAUCGUCUUUUUACUAAGACAGCAUUUGACAAUUUUGACCUCAAAUCAGGUAGGAACUACCCGCUGAACUUAAGCAUAUCAAUAAGCGGAGGAAAAGAAACUAACAAGGAUUCCCCUAGUAACUGCGAGUGAAAGCGGGGAAA
RNAcentral lists this ribosomal RNA (767 nucleotides) under Collybia sp. BAB-4944. Its description in RNAcentral is "eukaryotic LSU rRNA". The stretch from base 288 to 441 matches the Rfam family "5.8S ribosomal RNA". Lineage: Eukaryota; Fungi; Basidiomycota; Agaricomycetes; Agaricales; Clitocybaceae. The record is from RNAcentral.